Molecule: long non-coding RNA, 690 nt
Filed under: Homo sapiens (human)
Lineage: Eukaryota; Metazoa; Chordata; Mammalia; Primates; Hominidae
Description: non-protein coding lnc-GAMT-5:1
Source: RNAcentral
UCCGCCAGUCACACUCAGCUCCGUGCACAAUCUCAAGAGGCAGAAGUCCAGGCCCAGUGGCGGCUGAUGUGUGGGGAACCCUUCUCUUCUUCCAGAGCAUCAGGAAGAGCCUCUAGGGACUUUCCUGCCCCUAAGACCAGGUGGGAAACCAGGACCACUUCACCCACUGCCUCAGGCCAGUGAGCCCAGCCCGCCCCUCCAUAGCCUGGACUCCCUCUCCCCAGCAGGGUCAGAUGCCCCCCCUCCAGCCCACGCCUGCAGGGUGUGGGGUCCACAGAACACAGGAGCGGUCCGUGAACUGGAACGCGCUGCUGUGUGCUGAAGGAGCCCCUGAAUGCCCACAUCCUGGGUGCUAACUGUGGUCACCCUCAUCCUCUCCCUGCCAGCCCCGCCCUCCCAGGCGGACCAGUGUUCUCCUUGGCAACGCCUGGAGCCAAGCUGGAAGCUCAGCCUAUAAGCAUCUGUCGAAUGACUGGCCUCUGCCAAAAGCCCUGUCACAGCUCUCAGGGAUUCUGACAUCAUGACAUGGUGUCACGGGGACCAGGCCUGGAUGGGAAAAGGCCUCAGUUCACAGAAGACAGCACAACCUCAGAUUGACGGGUCGCACCAUGAACAUAGCCGCCUGACCAGGAGCGCCCUCUGUGCGGGGCGGGCAGUGGAGGAGUGUGGACUCCCAGCUCCGGAUCUUCC